This 300-nucleotide ribosomal RNA is filed under the name Triticum aestivum (bread wheat). Its description in RNAcentral is "partial small subunit ribosomal RNA". Lineage: Eukaryota; Viridiplantae; Streptophyta; Magnoliopsida; Poales; Poaceae. The record is from RNAcentral.
AUGGCCCCCCAAGUAGAGCCACCGGCGCCGGCGCCGUCGCCUGCAUCGGCGAAGUAUGAUCCAGCGGCCACCGCCACCACCAUCACUUCCAUCACCGACGACCUCCUCCGCGAGAUCCUCGUACGCCUCCCCUCCCUCCCGAGCCUCGUCCGCGCCGCCCUCGCCUGCCGCACCUUCCUCCGCGCCGUCCGCUCCUCCCCCGCCUUCCGCCGCCGCUUCCGGGCGCUCCACCCGCCACAGCUCCUUGGCUACUUCACUGACCCCUGCCGCACCGCCUUCCCUGCCUUCAUCCCCUUCUGA